This 92-nucleotide transfer RNA is filed under the name Nitrososphaeria archaeon. RNAcentral's name for it is "tRNA-Gln". It matches the Rfam family "tRNA". Rfam says of the family: Transfer RNA (tRNA) molecules are approximately 80 nucleotides in length. Their secondary structure includes four short double-helical elements and three loops (D, anti-codon, and T loops). Further hydrogen bonds mediate the characteristic L-shaped molecular structure. tRNAs have two regions of fundamental functional importance: the anti-codon, which is responsible for specific mRNA codon recognition, and the 3' end, to which the tRNAs corresponding amino acid is attached (by aminoacyl-tRNA synthetases). tRNAs cope with the degeneracy of the genetic code in two manners: having more than one tRNA (with a specific anti-codon) for a particular amino acid; and 'wobble' base-pairing, i.e. permitting non-standard base-pairing at the 3rd anti-codon position. Lineage: Archaea; Thermoproteati; Nitrososphaerota; Nitrososphaeria. The record is from RNAcentral.
AGCCCGGUCGUCUAGCGGUCAAUCCUGGCCAGAGGGACCAUGGAUGCGGGGCUUUGGACCCCGUGACGCCGGUUCGAAUCCGGCCCGGGCUA